RNAcentral lists this ribosomal RNA (496 nucleotides) under uncultured bacterium. RNAcentral's name for it is "partial 16S ribosomal RNA". It matches the Rfam family "Bacterial small subunit ribosomal RNA", at positions 28 to 506 of the family's 1533-position model. The record is from RNAcentral.
GAUGAACGCUGGCGGCGUGCCUAAUACAUGCAAGUCGAGCGAACAGACGAGGAGCUUGCUCCUCUGACGUUAGCGGCGGACGGGUGAGUAACACGUGGAUAACCUACCUAUAAGACUGGGAUAACUUCGGGAAACCGGAGCUAAUACCGGAUAAUAUAUUGAACCGCAUGGUUCAAUAGUGAAAGACGGUUUUGCUGUCACUUAUAGAUGGAUCCGCGCCGCAUUAGCUAGUUGGUAAGGUAACGGCUUACCAAGGCAACGAUGCGUAGCCGACCUGAGAGGGUGAUCGGCGACGCGGGAAGUGAGACACGAGCCAGACACCUACGGGAGGCAGCAGUAGGGAAUCUUCCGAAAUGGGCGAAAGCUUGAAGGAGCGACGCAGGGUGAGUGAAGAAAGGCUUCGGAUCGUAAAACUCUGUUAUUAGGGAAGAACAAAUGUGUAAGUAACGAUGCACGUCUUGACGGUACCUAAUAAGAAAGCCACGGCUAACUACGU